UACGUAGGGUGCAAGCGUUGUCCGGAAUUAUUGGGCGUAAAGAGCUCGUAGGCGGUCAGUCGCGUCUGCUGUGAAAACUCGGGGCUUAACUCCGGGCCUGCAGUGGGUACGGGCUGACUAGAGUGCGGUAGGGGGAGACUGGAAUUCCUGGUGUAGCGGUGAAAUGCGCAGAUAUCAGGAGGAACACCGGUGGCGAAGGCGGGUCUCUGGGCCAUAACUGACGCUGAGGAGCGAAAGCGUGGGGAGCGAACAGG
Molecule: ribosomal RNA, 254 nt
Filed under: uncultured bacterium
Lineage: Bacteria
Description: partial 16S ribosomal RNA
Rfam family: Bacterial small subunit ribosomal RNA
Source: RNAcentral